Molecule: ribosomal RNA, 445 nt
Filed under: Achromobacter xylosoxidans
Lineage: Bacteria; Pseudomonadati; Pseudomonadota; Betaproteobacteria; Burkholderiales; Alcaligenaceae
Description: bacterial SSU rRNA
Rfam family: Bacterial small subunit ribosomal RNA
Source: RNAcentral
UGAACGCUAGCGGGAUGCCUUACACAUGCAAGUCGAACGGCAGCACGGACUUCGGUCUGGUGGCGAGUGGCGAACGGGUGAGUAAUGUAUCGGAACGUGCCUAGUAGCGGGGGAUAACUACGCGAAAGCGUAGCUAAUACCGCAUACGCCCUACGGGGGAAAGCAGGGGAUCGCAAGACCUUGCACUAUUAGAGCGGCCGAUAUCGGAUUAGCUAGUUGGUGGGGUAACGGCUCACCAAGGCGACGAUCCGUAGCUGGUUUGAGAGGACGACCAGCCACACUGGGACUGAGACACGGCCCAGACUCCUACGGGAGGCAGCAGUGGGGAAUUUUGGACAAUGGGGGAAACCCUGAUCCAGCCAUCCCGCGUGUGCGAUGAAGGCCUUCGGGUUGUAAAGCACUUUUGGCAGGAAAGAAACGUCAUGGGUUAAUACCCCGUGAAACU